Molecule: ribosomal RNA, 253 nt
Filed under: uncultured bacterium
Lineage: Bacteria
Description: partial 16S ribosomal RNA
Rfam family: Bacterial small subunit ribosomal RNA
Source: RNAcentral
UACGGGGGGGGCAAGCGUUGUUCGGAAUUACUGGGCGUAAAGGGCUCGUAGGCGGCCAACUAAGUCAGACGUGAAAUCCCUAGGCUCAACCUAGGAACUGCGUCUGAUACUGGAUGGCUUGAAUCCGGGAGAGGGAUGCAGAAUUCCAGGUGUAGCGGUGAAAUGCGUAGAUAUCUGGAGGAACACCGGUGGCGAAGGCGGCAUCCUGGACCGGCAUUGACGCUGAGGCGCGAAAGCCAGGGGAGCAAACGGG